UUGUUCCUACGGGGGGCAGCAGUGGGGGAUAUUGGACAAUGGGGGGAACCCUGAUCCAGCGACGCCGCGUGAGUGAAGAAGUAUUUCGGUAUGUAAAGCUCUGUCAGCAGGGAAGAAAGAAAUGACGGUACCUGACCAAGAAGCCCCGGCUAACUACGUGCCAGCAGCCGCGGUAAUACGUAGGGGGCAAGCGUUAUCCGGAUUCACUGGGCGUAAAGGGAGCGCAGGCGGCAUGGCAAGUCUGAUGUGAAAACCCGGGGCCCAACCCCGG
RNAcentral lists this ribosomal RNA (271 nucleotides) under uncultured bacterium. RNAcentral's name for it is "partial 16S ribosomal RNA". It matches the Rfam family "Bacterial small subunit ribosomal RNA", at positions 333 to 618 of the family's 1533-position model. The record is from RNAcentral.